This 548-nucleotide ribosomal RNA is filed under the name uncultured Glomus. RNAcentral's name for it is "SSU rRNA". It matches the Rfam family "Eukaryotic small subunit ribosomal RNA", at positions 548 to 1098 of the family's 1831-position model. Lineage: Eukaryota; Fungi; Glomeromycota; Glomeromycetes; Glomerales; Glomeraceae. The record is from RNAcentral.
UUGGAGGGCAAGUCUGGUGCCAGCAGCCGCGGUAAUUCCAGCUCCAAUAGCGUAUAUUAAAGUUGUUGCAGUUAAAAAGCUCGUAGUUGAAUUUCGGGAUCAAUAUAUCGGUCGUGCCUUGGUACGUACUGGUAUCAUUGGUUCCUCCUUUCUGACGAACCAUGAUGUCAUUAAUUUGGUGUUAUGGGAAGUUAGGACUGUUACUUUGAAAAAAUUAGAGUGUUUAAAGCAGGCUUUAGCUUGAAUACAUUAGCAUGGAAUAAUGAAAUAGGACGUUCGAACCUAUUUUGUUGGUUUCUAGGAUCAACGUAAUGAUUAAUAGGGAUAGUUGGGGGCAUUAGUAUUCAAUUGUCAGAGGUGAAAUUCUUGGAUUUAUUGAAGACUAACUACUGCGAAAGCAUUUGCCAAGGAUGUUUUCAUUAAUCAAGAACGAAAGUUAGGGGAUCGAAGACGGUCAGAUACCGUCGUAGUCUUAACCAUAAACUAUGCCGACUAGGGAUCGGAUGAUGUUGAUUUUUUAAUGACUCAUUCGGCGCCUUACGGGAAAC